Molecule: signal recognition particle RNA, 299 nt
Filed under: Aotus nancymaae (Ma's night monkey)
Lineage: Eukaryota; Metazoa; Chordata; Mammalia; Primates; Aotidae
Description: Metazoan signal recognition particle RNA (ENSANAG00000011425.1)
Rfam family: Metazoan signal recognition particle RNA
About the family: The signal recognition particle (SRP) is a universally conserved ribonucleoprotein.
Source: RNAcentral
GCCAGGCACGGUGGUGCGUGCCUAUAGUCCCAACUACUCGGGAGGCUGAGGAGGGAGGAUCGCUUGAGCCCAGGAGUUCUGGGCUGUAGUGUGCUGUGCCAGUUGGAUGUCCGCACUAAGUUGAGCAUCAAUAUGGUGACCUUCCAGGAGCAAGGAACCACCAGGUUGCCUAAGGAGGGGUGAACCGGCCCAGGUCGGAAACAGACCAGGUAAAAACUCCUGUGCUGAUGAGUAGUGGGAUGGCACCUGUGAAUAGCCACUGCACUCCAGCCUGGGCAACAUAGGGAGACCCCGUCUUA